Molecule: long non-coding RNA, 255 nt
Filed under: Gallus gallus (chicken)
Lineage: Eukaryota; Metazoa; Chordata; Aves; Galliformes; Phasianidae
Description: long non-coding RNA NONGGAT002861
Source: RNAcentral
CCCUAGGGAGCAGUGGAGGGCUGCAGCAUGGGCUUCACCAAGUUCUGUGCUGCUCUGCUGAACCACCCCAACACGGAGCUGCAGGCAAUCCCACAGACCAUACUGGACCAGGGGUUAGAAGCACUGAGCGGACCCCGGAGCAGCUCGAUAACGCGCCGUGCUGCCGGCUUCCCCAUGCUCUUCCUCUGCAUUGUCAGCGGGGAAAACCCAGCCCAGGUGACCGCAGUGCACGCUGAUCCCUUUGCCAUUAAAGCC